GGUGAAGCAGGUGAAAUAAUUACAUCCUUGCAGCCAGGACAGAAGGGUGACCCAGGAUUUCCAGGUCUUCCAGGGAUACCUGGCCCACCCGGCUCCGUGGGAAUACCAGGUCCAGUUGGCCCCCCAGGGCCCCCAGGUUUGACGGUAAGUUUCUUUAACCUGUUGCUCAUAAAGCCUUAAAUGGGACAGUUACUACUUGGUUUCGUGUUCUCAGAGGCAGGUCAGUGAAUUGCAGAGAUCAUGGUAGUCAGCACUUGGUAUGAAGACAGCAGCAACCAUGCAUUCAGUUCAGCCUUGGAGCUGUUACUGUGCACGUGUAAAUAAGAUACUUUUGAAACAACCUGUUCCCCAACACCUUUUUGCUUUAAGUGGUGCUGAAUCGUUGUGCAGGCUUCUCACUUGUGUGAAACAUGGGGUAAGAUUUAGCUUAUUUAGACUAGGACGUUUAAUGCCUGACUGUUUAAUUUCAUUUUACUCUCUCACUUAAGGGAAGAACUAGUUUCUUACAUAUUUGUGAAGUAAAAUAGCAUGAGUUUUCAAAGGAAGGUGCCUUGUCAGCAUGGAGAUAAUUCACAGGAAUUAAAGCUGCAACAUUGUUGUGUGGGUUUUUCUCUACAGGGGUUUGUAAAGUGCUUUUAUGUGACUUGUUUUUUGGUUUCCUUUUUCAAUAGGGACCUCCUGGUCCACCAGGGCUGCCAGGACCCAAGGUAUUGUCUUUCUCAUAUUGAUGGUGGUGGUGGACUCUUUUCUUUCUCUUUCUGUUUAUUUAUGACUUCCAAGGGCUGAUGAGUUAUACUUUUUGCAGGGUAAUAUGGGUUUGAAUUUCCAAGGACCCAAAGGUGAAAAAGGUGAACAAGGUCUUCAGGGACCUCCAGGGCCACCAGGACAAAUUGGAGAACAGAAAAGACCAAAUGACAUUGAGUUUCAGAAAGGAGAUCAGGGUAUUCCAGGUGAUCCAGGCCCACCAGGACUUCCUGGGCCACCAGGCCCUCCUGGUCUUCCCGGUGGCAUAAAAGGUGAAAAAGGUGAGCAAGGAGAACCAGGCAAAAGAGUAAGUAGUCUGUUUAACCAAACACUUAUCUUUCCAUUCAGUGUUAUUGUUGACAAUUAA
Molecule: long non-coding RNA, 1111 nt
Filed under: Corvus moneduloides (New Caledonian crow)
Lineage: Eukaryota; Metazoa; Chordata; Aves; Passeriformes; Corvidae
Description: lncRNA (ENSCMUG00000019362.1)
Source: RNAcentral